AUAGCUCAGUCGGUUAGAGCACCUGCCUCUUAAGCAGGGUGUCGUGGGUUCGAGUCCCACU
This 61-nucleotide transfer RNA is filed under the name Candidatus Pacebacteria bacterium CG_4_9_14_0_2_um_filter_34_50. RNAcentral describes it as "tRNA-Lys". It matches the Rfam family "tRNA", at positions 7 to 64 of the family's 71-position model. Rfam says of the family: Transfer RNA (tRNA) molecules are approximately 80 nucleotides in length. Their secondary structure includes four short double-helical elements and three loops (D, anti-codon, and T loops). Lineage: Bacteria; Bacillati; Minisyncoccota. The record is from RNAcentral.